GAUGAACGCUGGCGGCGUGCCUAACACAUGCAAGUCGAGCGAGGGUUUGCUCAGUAUUGAGUAUUCUAAAACUAGAAUGUUCAAUUCUGAGCAAAACCAAGCGGCGGACGGGUGAGUAACGCGUGGGUAACCUGCCCUAUACACAUGGAUAACAUACUGAAAAGUUUACUAAUACAUGAUAAUAUAUAUUUGCGGCAUCGCAGAUAUAUCAAAGUGUUAGCGGUAUAGGAUGGACCCGCGUCUGAUUAGCUAGUUGGUGAGAUAACUGCCUACCAAGGCGACGAUCAGUAGCCGACCUGAGAGGGUGAUCGGCCACAUUGGAACUGAGACACGGUCCAAACUCCUACGGGAGGCAGCAGUGGGGAAUAUUGCACAAUGGGCGAAAGCCUGAUGCAGCAACGCCGCGUGAACGAUGAAGGUCUUCGGAUCGUAAAGUUCUGUUGCAGGGGAAGAUAAUGACGGUA
RNAcentral lists this ribosomal RNA (464 nucleotides) under Peptostreptococcus stomatis. Its description in RNAcentral is "bacterial SSU rRNA". It matches the Rfam family "Bacterial small subunit ribosomal RNA", at positions 28 to 477 of the family's 1533-position model. The record is from RNAcentral. Lineage: Bacteria; Bacillati; Bacillota; Clostridia; Peptostreptococcales; Peptostreptococcaceae.